GGCAAUAUACAGUCGGCGGCCAAGCGAAAGCAUUAAGUAUUCCACCUGGGGAGUACGCCGGCAACGUGAAACUCAAAGGAAUUGACGGGGGCCCGCACAAGCGGAGGAACAUGUGGUUUAAUUCGAUGAUACGCGAGGAACCUUACCCGGGCUUGAACUGCACCCGACGGACGGAGAGAUCCGUCUUCCGCAAGGCGGGUGUGGAGGUGCUGCAUGGUUGUCGUCAGCUCGUGCCGUGAGGUGUCGGCUUAAGUGCCAUAACGAGCGCAACCCUUCUCUUCAGUUGCCAUCAGGUCGAGCUGGGCACUCUGGAGACACUGCCAUCGUAAGAUGCGAGGAAGGUGGGGAUGACGUCAAAUCAGCACGGCCCUUACGUCCGGGGCUACACACGUGUUACAAUGGGAGGUACAGAAGGCCGCGACCCGGCGACGGGAAGCCAAUCCCCAAAUCCUCUCUCAGUUCGGACUGGAGUCUGCAACCCGACUCCACGAAGCUGGAUUCGCUAGUAAU
RNAcentral lists this ribosomal RNA (510 nucleotides) under uncultured bacterium. RNAcentral describes it as "bacterial SSU rRNA". It matches the Rfam family "Bacterial small subunit ribosomal RNA", at positions 825 to 1342 of the family's 1533-position model. The record is from RNAcentral.